RNA transcript from Neoarius graeffei (lesser salmon catfish), 3979 nucleotides. RefSeq lists it as uncharacterized. The transcript is spliced from 6 exons. The record is from RefSeq and is a predicted model, not a curated record. NCBI's taxonomy places the organism in Eukaryota, Metazoa, Chordata, Actinopteri, Siluriformes, Ariidae.
CUGCCUGUGUCGUUUCCUCUUUUCUGAAGAGAACUGGAGGUAGUUAGUUUGGAAUUCUACCUUCAGCGAUACUUUUCUUUUGAAUCACCCAACACACUGACACACCGAAAAAUAAUAGCAUGCAGAUUUUUCUUGAAAGUAAAAUGUAUGGAUGUGAAGUGACAAAGCUGAAGUGAUAACCCAGGCCAUCGCAAUUUGUCAAAUGUCCUGUUGAGAGAACCAAUGGCAUUCCAAAUACCUGUACCAUUUCCCAUUACUGUUCCGGUUCCUGUUGAAUUGGAGCCAAGGAAAACAAAUCCAUUAAUACAAUGCAUUGUUGACAACAAAUCAAACAAACUGAAGAAACUAGUUAAAGGAAUCAAUAUUAAUGGACUGUAUUCUUCUGCAAUCUGGAAUGAUGACGUUACCCUGCUGACAGCAGCAGCUGUAUGUGGGAAUGAAAAGAUUUGUAACUUUCUACUUAGAGAAAAUGCAGAUCCCAACAUACUGUCCACAAAAUGCCUAACAUCUCUCCACUACGCUGCAAAUACAGCAGGAGUUCCACUGAAUGUUGUGAGAAGAUUAAUAGCUGCAAAAGCUAAUCCAAAUGGUCAUCGUCAGCAAAUAAUGACACCAUUACAGUUUGCUGCCAGGAACAACAGAGUGGACAUAUUCAAAACACUUAUAGAAGCUGGUGCUGACCCCGAAAGAAAUUAUAGGAUAAUUCCUGAUCUUGAUAAAAAAGUAGAGACUCUUAUGAAUAAAUUACCUGCAGGAAAUGAAGCUGUAGAGAAAUGCAGAAUGUUUUUCAAUUUUACUACUAUGGUUCCCAAAAAAACUCAGCCAGAGGUUUUUAACUUCUGUAGGGAACAUUUUCUUGAGGAACAUCCUUUUACCCUUCUUGCACUUUUUGAAAGAUACUUUAAUGUUAUGAGCAGAUCAGCAGAACAAUAUCAACAAAGUAGCAUAAAGUGGUUGAAAGACUCCAAGAAAACGGACACCUACAUCCAGGGAUUUAUCAAACGCUUUCCCAGAAUUCCUCAUGAAUAUAGGAGGAUGGCACUGAACAGCCUAAAUGCUGUAAUUUGCAUGAUGAGAGAAAUAUCCCCUCAGAUAUUUAAUGAGCUCGUACCCAUUCUGAUCCCAGGUUUACUGCUCACUAAUACAGUGCAGGGAAAUGUGUUAAAUCUCCAAAUACUCAGUAUUCUUUGUGUGAGUAUGGACAAGUUCUCUAAGCGAAAACCUACAGCUGAUGAUAUUAACUCUGUUGUUCUUGAAGAGUUUUGCAAUGCACUUAUGCCUCUCACUGAUCCUAACUACUCAACUAAUGUCAGCAUUCUUGUUUACCGUUUGUUUGCUGCCCUGUAUGAAUUUGUCCCAGAGCACAUUCAUUCGCGUGGAUUAACCUCAGUGCCAGAUAGGGUUCUUUUUGCUGUAGACAUCAGAACAAAUAAUGUUGUUAAAGAUGAACUGCGAAAACUGGACACAAAUCUCAGAUUUCCCCAAAGUUCAAGCUUAGGUGAUGUAGCAGACAGCACAUCAUCAAAGAAGAAAAAGAAGAAAAAAAAGAGGAAAGGCAUGCAGCAAGAGACAAGCUCAAAAGAAGAUGCUGUACAAAAAUCAAAACUUGAUUCAGGUACUGAAAAGACUUCAGUUGAGGAGUCAAACUCCACUGUGCAUCCAUUUGCAGCACAUACUGAGGAUUCAUCAGUGCCAAGAAAAUGGCAUUCAAUCAGCCAACGCUGGAAGCCCAAGCUAGAGAAACUUGUUAGCAUGGAAGCAAGUAAGGUUUAUCGCCUGAGGAAUCUCACAAUUGGUGAUAUCCCUGAAUUUGAGAUAGCUAAAGGAAGUGAUGGAACACAGGUUUUUCUUGGACUGAGAGAUGACGGCACUGAGGUAGCUGUCAAACGAAUGUUAAAGUCCAAUUAUCAAGACCUCAAAAAUGAAGAGGAAUUUCUACGGCUUCCUGAGCUCGACAAUCCUUGGAUUGUGCGAUAUGUGGACUUUGCAGAAGAUGACAAAUUUGGGUAUCUUGUCCUUCAACUUUGUGAAUACACACUGGAGGAGUACAUCCUAAACCGUUUGCCAGAAGACCGUUCUCUGCAGCUACAGGUCCUGAAGAAAAUUGUAAAAGGAGUACUCCGUAGCCUACAAGUUCUUCAUAGCCAAGAUACCAUUGUGCUUCAUCGAGACAUGAAACCUCAAAAUGUUCUGAUUGAUAUAACUGGAAAGGCGAGAUUGGCUGAUUUUGGCAUAAGUCGAAAACUGAAGUUGGGGGAGACGACUUGCCACACUAAUCCUGCUGGGACAAAGUGCUGGAAAGCCAGCGAAACGCUUGAUGAGGACAGUAACCAUGGCUACAAGAGGAGUUCUGACAUUCAGGUUGCAGGAAUGUUGGUGUAUUACAUCCUCUCCAUUGGACAUCAUCCGUUUGGCAAAGGUGUCUGGUGUGAGGUGAAUAUUCUUCGUGGGAAGUACUCUUUGGAACACCUGGAGGAUGAAAUGGCAAAGGACUUGGUGGAGUGGAUGAUCAGUCAUGAUCCAAAGGACAGACCUAAAGUAGAGGAGACUCUUUGCCACCCGUUCUUUUGGACAGAUGGACGGAAGAUGCACAAAAACAAGAUUUGACAUAUGGCAUUAGCCCUGUUUACUUACAGGCCUCGGAAAAGCCUGCAGCUACACAGUCUAAGCGUCUGACACCAUUUGUGGACAGGAAAGCACAUAUUGAGGCUUUAAUCUUAGCUUUUGCUGCAGAGAAAACUCUGGCCAUGAGUGAUGUAGAAGAUCUUGUAGCCUCGUGUAAAGAAGUAGCUAAAGAUAAAAAAGCCUUGGAUGCACUUCACAUGGCAAGAAGUAGUGCAACUUACAAGCUAAUUCAUGGACUGAAUCAGACAGACAGUCAUUUCUUUAAGACGGUGAACUACCCAAGAAAAAGAAAAAGCAUGCUGCCAACUUAUGAUGUGUAAUUUUUCAGCAAUAUAAUAAAGUUAUGAGCUAUGAAAUAUGUACAUUGUUUUUGUAUUAACUAAUUUUCAAAAAUGCUAUCCUGUUUCAGUAAUAUUUACUGAAAAUAAACUUAUUAAAAAUGGUGAUGUUUGAUAAGUUUAAGUAGCCCUCCACUAGUCAGAGGAGUGGAGCCAGUCAGAUGAAAUACCCCUCAUGAGAUUUUUUUGAAAGUGUGAAAAAUUAGGUUCUUGUAAUUUGAAAGUUUGCAUGCAUUUUAUUCUAAAAGUUUCUCAAAUUUUAAAAUGUGUGCUAUGAAUUCUGUGAAAAGGUCUUGGCUUCUGGGGGCCAAAGGCCUACAACCCCCCCAGCGGGGCAUUGCCUCUGGACCCCAGUGGGGGCGUAGCCUGCCCCCACACCCCCCUGGCUUGACAUUCACUUUUUUUUAGAUAUCCCCAGUGGCAUGCCUGAAGUUGAAAACCAAAUAUGACUUAUGAGAUAUCAAACUAAAAUAAACAAGCUACUGAACAAAACCCUCAAAAUUAUUAAUGAGAGUAAGAGGUCAUGGUGAAUCUUUUGGCUCAGAGGGGGACCAAAAGUUAUCUAUAGGAAUAUCACCCAGAAGAUUACUAUACUGCUAGUACUAAAUAUAAUUUAUAGUGCCUCAUGUUAUUGUAGAUGUUCUGUGGGGGAAAGAAACGGGUAAGAAAGUAUACGUUUGCAUUGCAUGUGCUGAUUUUCAGUCCAUUCAAAAUAGUGUCACAUUUUCAACACCAGUAUUUAGUACAACUUAACUACACAGAAGACCUGAGAAAAUACUAGUGCAGCCCGGAACAUAUUACUAUAUCUCUUAGAAGUCCACUAAAACCGUAUUGGACCAUGUUUCCAUCAGCUCAGUGAAACAGAAAAAUUGAUAGGUCUUGACUACGCAUGCUGAAACUCAUUAGACAACUCGAGAAUGCUGUGGACAUGCAGUACUAUGUUACUCUGUUUUGCUUCAUGCUUUUCAGGAGAUCCAAAAUAUUGACCUGAGCCUCACUUUCAGUGUACAUCGGCU